RNAcentral lists this ribosomal RNA (324 nucleotides) under uncultured eukaryote. RNAcentral describes it as "partial 18S ribosomal RNA". It matches the Rfam family "Eukaryotic small subunit ribosomal RNA", at positions 1470 to 1796 of the family's 1831-position model. The record is from RNAcentral.
CCCUUAGAUGUCCUGGGCUGCACGCGCGCUACACUGAUGUGUCCAGUAAGCACCUAACCUCUUCCGAAAGGAACGGGUAACCUUUGCAAAGCACAUCGUGAUGGGGAUAGAUUAUUGCAAUUAUUAGUCUUGAACGAGGAAUUCCUAGUAAGCACAAGUCAUCAGCUUGUGUUGAUUACGUCCCGGCCCUUUGUACACACCGCCCGUCGCUCCUACCGAUUGAAUGUUCCGGUGAGCUCUUCGGACUGCGCGGUCUGCAGUUUCUGCGUUCCGUGCGGAAAGUUGCGCAAACCUUAACAUUUAGAGGAAGGAGAAGUCGUAACA